UGGCGGACGGGUGAGUAAUGUCUGGGAAACUGCCCGAUGGAGGGGGAUAACUACUGGAAACGGUAGCUAAUACCGCGUAACGCCGCAAGACCAAAGAGGGGGACCUUCGGGCCUCUUGCCAUCGGAUGUGCCCAGAUGGGAUUAGCUAGUAGGUGGGGUAACGGCUCACCUAGGCGACGAUCCCUAGCUGGUCUGAGAGGAUGACCAGCCACACUGGAACUGAGACACGGUCCAG
RNAcentral lists this ribosomal RNA (235 nucleotides) under uncultured bacterium. Its description in RNAcentral is "partial 16S ribosomal RNA". It matches the Rfam family "Bacterial small subunit ribosomal RNA", at positions 96 to 334 of the family's 1533-position model. The record is from RNAcentral.